UAACAUUCCAGUGUUUCAGAGAAACACUCUUGUAUUUGGACCUAUAUUAAGCUGAAUAAAGAGAACCUACUGAGGUUUAUUAAUCUUUAGUGAGAGCCCAUUUUACUUUACUUUAGUUCUGGUUUACAGAAAAGGUUUACUUCUAUAGAUUUUAUUUCUAUAGAUACAGAUAUGAGCUACAACCGUGAACAAUGAUUUAAGGACAGCUAAGCAGAAUGAAAAAAUCUUUAUGGAGCAAAAAACUGAGAGAAAUUAAUUUCUUGGCAACAUAAGAUUAUCAUGACUAAUUUCACCUCUGUUCAUGAUCUGAUGUAAAGCAGGGAAUGAGAUCAUACAAUUCUCUGAAUGCCAAUCAUAUGAUUUGAACUCAGUUCAAAAGUGGCUCUGCUGAAAGCAUUUAAGGACUAGUAGCUUAGUUCAUGAGAACAAAAUCUAAUAAGAAUGAAGAUAUUACACUAAAGAACUGGUUUUGUCA
RNAcentral lists this long non-coding RNA (475 nucleotides) under Anas platyrhynchos platyrhynchos (common mallard). Its description in RNAcentral is "lncRNA (ENSAPLG00000019081.1)". The record is from RNAcentral. Lineage: Eukaryota; Metazoa; Chordata; Aves; Anseriformes; Anatidae.